GUCCACGCCGUAAACGAUGGGCACUAGGCGCUUGGGGAGCGACCCCCGAGGGCCGGCGCUAACGCAUUAAGUGCCCCGCCUGGGGAGUACGGCCGCAAGGCUGAAACUCAAAGGAAUUGACGGGGCCCGCACAAGCGGUGGAGCAUGUGGUUUAAUUCGACGCAACGCGAAGAACCUUACCUAGGCUUGACAUACACGGGAAACCUCUCAGAAACGGGAGGCCCUCUUCGGAGCCCGUGCACAGGUGCUGCAUGGCUGUCGU
Molecule: ribosomal RNA, 262 nt
Filed under: uncultured bacterium
Lineage: Bacteria
Description: partial 16S ribosomal RNA
Rfam family: Bacterial small subunit ribosomal RNA
Source: RNAcentral